Molecule: ribosomal RNA, 497 nt
Filed under: uncultured bacterium
Lineage: Bacteria
Description: partial 16S ribosomal RNA
Rfam family: Bacterial small subunit ribosomal RNA
Source: RNAcentral
GACGAACGCUGGCGGCGUGCCUAAUACAUGCAAGUAGAACGCUGAAGAGAGGAGCUUGCUCUUCUUGGAUGAGUUGCGAACGGGUGAGUAACGCGUAGGUAACCUGCCUUGUAGCGGGGGAUAACUAUUGGAAACGAUAGCUAAUACCGCAUAACAAUGGAUGACACAUGUCAUUUAUUUGAAAGGGGCAAUUGCUCCACUACAAGAUGGACCUGCGUUGUAUUAGCUAGUAGGUGAGGUAAUGGCUCACCUAGGCGACGAUACAUAGCCGUCCUGAGAGGGUGAUCGGCCACACUGGGACUGAGACACGGCCCAGACUCCUACGGGAGGCAGCAGUAGGGAAUCUUCGGCAAUGGGGGCAACCCUGACCGAGCAACGCCGCGUGAGUGAAGAAGGUUUUCGGAUCGUAAAGCUCUGUUGUAAGUCAAGAACGGGUGUGAGAGUGGAAAGUUCACACUGUGACGGUAGCUUACCAGAAAGGGACGGCUAACUACGUG